This is a long non-coding RNA of Lutra lutra (Eurasian river otter), 2238 nucleotides long. RefSeq lists it as uncharacterized. NCBI's taxonomy places the organism in Eukaryota, Metazoa, Chordata, Mammalia, Carnivora, Mustelidae. The record is from RefSeq and is a predicted model, not a curated record. The transcript is spliced from 2 exons.
CUGCCUCUCCUCUUGCUUGUGCUCCCUUUUUCUGUCUCUCCCUCAAAUAAAUAAGUAAAAUCUUAAAUAAAAAAAAAAAAAAUGGAAAAGGUCAUGAAUCUACUAUAGUGGAGAUUUAAAAAUUCUUAAUAUGACAAACUAUGAAGAAAACCUGCUGAACAAAAGAGAAAAAAACCCUGUAGUUUCUUCAAUAAAUAAAUGACAAAGGGAAAAAAAAAGCAGUGAAUAUAGAUUAAAAGAAAUGUAAAGUCAAAUGAACUUGUGGAUUCAAAGUAUAAAAGUAGGAAACACUACAAGACAGAAGUCUGAACACUGGUGUUUGAUAUGAAGAAAUUAUUUAUUUGGUUUGAUAAUAUAACUGAUCAUAUUUUAAGUGGUCUUUAGCAAUACACAUAGAACUGUUGACAUGUGAAUUCUCUCUGGGAUUUGUUUCUGUAUAUGAGAGGCAGAUGUGGGAGGGUUAUAGUUUGAGUAAGACUGGCUGAGUUAAUAACUGGUAAAGCUAGGGGAUGAGGACAAGGUUAUGAUACUAUUUUGUCUGCUUUUGCACAUUUGAAAUUUUCCAUAAUCACACUGUUUUAGACUGUAAGAAUAUAAGUAAUUUUAUUUGCUGAUAAAUUUGUAAGUAGUCUAAAUGGACAAUUUCCUGAAAUAUAUAAUGUGUAUGUGUAUGUAUAUAUUUAUAUAUAUACACACAUAUUUAUAUACAGUUAUAUAAAAUUUACAGAAACUAAAUCAGAAAUAGAAAACCUGAAAAAUCUUACCAAGUUAACAAAAUUGAUUUUGUACUUAAAAUAUAUAAACAAAAAAAUUGGUCAAAUUGGAUUUUAUCAGGUACUCAAGGAACAUAUUAUAUAAAUGGUUUCAGAAAAUUGAAGAAAAAAAGAACAUUCCCCAGCCUUUUCUAUUAAAACUAAACAACAUGGAGAUUAUAAACCAGGAUUAUUUGUCGAGUGGAGAGGGGGGGAGACUCUAAAAACUAAGCAAUAACAAACUAAACCUAGUAAAGUUUUUUUUAGAAAUCAUGACCUAGAAUUCUUAGACAGUUUAAUAUUAGAAAAUUGAAUGAUGUAGUUUCCCAUAUUAACAGAUUAAAGGAGAAAAUCCAGAUAUAUCAGUAGAUGGCAGAAAAAAUACUCCAUGAAACUUAAAACCUAUUGAUGAAAAUCUCACAGUAACUGCAAUAUAGGAGAAUGCAUUUUAAUCAUGAUAAAGAAUAUCUACAAAAACCCUAAUUCAAAUGCUGUAAUUAAUGGUAAAACCUUAAAAGCACUUCCUAUAAGCACAGAACAAGUCAAGGAUGCCUGUUGUCAAGGUUUUGUUUGGUGUUCUGAAAUCCUAGUCAGUGCAACAAAAUGAGAGAAAGGAAAAAAGUUCAUCGGUUGUAAAGAUCAGUUGCUUUUCUUUAUACUACAGCCAAAAGCAGUUAGAAAAUAAAACUUUGUAAAGCACAAUUUACAAUAAGAACAAAUCAGGUAUCAGGAAGCAAAUUUUAAAAUUAUGUUGAAAUGCAUAAAAGAAGGCCUACAGAAAUAGAGAUCAUUUUCAUGGAUGGGAAGAUUCAAUAUCAUAAAAAUGUUCAUUGUUCUCUAAUUUAUCAAUUUAAAGUAAUUCCAGUCCAAAUCCCAGUAGGGCUUUCUAGGGAAGAUGGCAGGCUAAUUCCAGAAUUCACAUAGAAGAGAAAGUGUUCACAAGAACCAUAACAGUUUUGAGUAAAAACAUGUGGGGCUGCUUACCCUUCAAGAUAAAGUUGUGGUAGUUGGAUGGAAUGGAACUGUCUGAGAUAUACAAACUAAUAAAAUUGGAUAAAAUUAGAAGGUAAAACUAUACAUGUAUGGUGGUCGCUGGGGGGAGGUGGGUAAGGGAAUAGGUGAAGUAGAUAAAGGGAAUUAAAUGGUAUAGACUUUGAGUUAUAAAUAAGGCACAGACACGAAAAGGACAGCAUACAGAGUAUAGUCAAUAAUACUGUGAUAAUGUUGUUUGGUGAUUACUCUUACCGUGGGGGAGCACUGAAAAAUGUAUGGGAUUGUUGAAUCUCUGUGGUACUCCUGAAACUAAUAGAACACUAUAUGUGAACUCUAUCUCAGGUUUUUGUUUUGUUUUUUUUUUUUAAGUAAAAAAAACUACACAUGUAUGGAAGCUUGGUACAUAACAAAUGUGCAGGUACACCUUGGAAAUAGUACCAGUUCUGUUCCAGACCACAGUAAGGCGAAUAUUGUAAUAAAGUGACUCAAAGAA